UCCUACGGGUGGCUGCAGUCGAGGAUCUUCGGCAAUGGGCGCAAGCCUGACCGAGCGACGCCGCGUGCGGGAUGAAGGCCUUCGGGUUGUAAACCGCUGUCAGUGGGGAGGAAAUGCAGGUGGGUUCUCCCAUCUGUUUGACCUAUCCGCAGAGGAAGGAUGGGCUAAGUUCGUGCCAGCAGCCGCGGUAAGACGAACCAUCCAAACGUUAUUCGGAAUUACUGGGCUUAAAGGGUGCGUAGGCUGCGCAGAAAGUUGGGUGUGAAAUCCCUCGGCUUAACCGAGGAACUGCGCCCAAAACUACUGUGCUUGAGGGAGACAGAGGUGAGCGGAACUUAGGGUGGAGCGGUGAAAUGCGUUGAUAUCCUAAGGAACACCCGUGGCGAAAGCGGCUCACUGGGUCUCUUCUGACGCUGAUGCACGAAAGCUAGGGGAGCGAACGGGAUUAGAUACCCUUGUAGUC
This 463-nucleotide ribosomal RNA is filed under the name uncultured bacterium. RNAcentral's name for it is "bacterial SSU rRNA". It matches the Rfam family "Bacterial small subunit ribosomal RNA", at positions 337 to 795 of the family's 1533-position model. The record is from RNAcentral.